AACACAGAGCGCCUUUUUGUUGUUGUUGUGCUAAGCUAAUAGGCAGAAUGCUACAGGCAUAGCUCUAAAGAAUGUAGCAUCAUGGGCAGUGUAGUCCGUGCUGCAGGGAGAAUGGACUGCCAUACACGUUAUGUGUCUGUGAGCGAGGGAGGGAGAGAAAGGAAAAGUCCGAGCUGUCACGGAGCAAAAACGGGAGCUGGAAGCAUGUAAAUAUAAUAAUAACCACUGCAGCUAAACAGAGAGCCUGAUGAGCCCAGCUGUAAUAAGACUCAACUGUACACUGUGUUCCUGUUUUCCUCCGAAACAAUAAGUUCCGUUGGAGCAGCCUUUCAACGCCUCUCUCUGUCUCUCGCUAGCAAAGUUGAUCCAGACAACAAAGUAAAGCUAGUUUUCGGCUACGACCCCGACAGGGAACCGGACGUAUUAGCCAGAGGUCCCUUUACUACGGUUCGGAGCCGCAGACCUUCAGUAACAAAAGUUCCCCAUGUUCAGUGUGGCUGUGAGCGUCCCACUCAAUAAAGACAAGUUUGAUAUGAGCAAAGUCACUGAUGAUGGUGAAGCUGUGAGGACGAAGAUUCUAAACUGUGAUGUAUACAUAGGUAACAGAGUGGUGGCAGCCACAGUGCUGAGAUGGCGCAAUGUUCUCUAUCAGUGUCCUAAUGAACGUGUACAGUGGCGUGAUGUCCCAAAAAAAUGUAAUAGAAAGGAGAUAAAUACAUGGGCUGAUAUUGACAAAUUUUGUGAUGUACAAUCUAUUGAAAGAAUUCUGUUUGCUCAGGCUGCUCAUGCUGAGUCCCGAACCCUGGACUAUUUCAAAGAUAAGGACAAAAUUAGGAAAAACUCCAAAGAUGAUCUGAUGGUUUUCUACGUCCGUGCCUCCCCAUGUGGUGAAACAUGUACCAACCCAAACAACGAUCGGAAUAUUCUCAGUAAAAUACAAGCAAUAACGAACUGGACGAAUUAUGUUGUUGUGUUUUCAGAUGUAUUUAGACCUGAUGAUAAGAAUAAUAAUCAGGAUCGUGUGAAUGAACUGCGUGGAUCACUUGAGAGGCUUGGGGACGCAAUCGCAGAUCAAGGGCCAAAGGUCAAAGAUAAAAGGUCAAAUGGUCUCCAGCAUAUAUUCCGAUGCUACAGGCAGCCAGAAAUGGAUGAAAUGAAGUGUCU
Molecule: long non-coding RNA, 1164 nt
Organism: Oreochromis aureus
Lineage: Eukaryota; Metazoa; Chordata; Actinopteri; Cichliformes; Cichlidae
Source: Ensembl